This 181-nucleotide unclassified non-coding RNA is filed under the name soil metagenome. RNAcentral describes it as "partial internal transcribed spacer 1". The record is from RNAcentral.
CCAAAACCUAGCUGUCUGGCCGCAAGGCUCUGACGCUUCAACCCUUUGUGAACCAAAAAACCUUCGCUUCGGCAGCGGCUCCGGUUGGAAACGACCUGGGCGUCAGCCUGCCGUUAGCACCAAACCUCAUAACUUGCAGUCAAAAACACUUGUCUGAUACCAAAUUUUCGAAUGAAAAUCA